This 426-nucleotide long non-coding RNA is filed under the name Rosa chinensis. RNAcentral describes it as "sRNA RchiOBHm_Chr6g0285871". The record is from RNAcentral. Lineage: Eukaryota; Viridiplantae; Streptophyta; Magnoliopsida; Rosales; Rosaceae.
UCCUUACUCACUAUCUCUAACAAAAUUGGAGACCCAUCUCUCCGACUUUUCCUCAAAACCCUAGCCCACUCCUCCUUCCUCUUCCGCUCUCUUUUCACGACCACCACCACCUCCUUCUCCUCCGCUCACUCCCGCUACUAUCUCUCCAGCGGCAUCGCCUCAGCUGGCAAGCUCGCUCUCUCUCUCUCUCUCUCUCUCUCUCUCUAAAACCCUCUCCGUCUCUCUCUGGGAUUGACGAAGAUGAAGUCUAUGCCACACAACAAUUUCUCAUGGACACAAUGGAGCCUCCCCAGUCGCCAAACCUAGCCCCGGCAAGCCUCCAAGGAGAAAAGCGCCUGCACCUUCAGAUCUAACUAUACGGCCUUGGAUUCGAAGCCUUCGCCGGCAGCUAAGUUGAAGAGUCUGUUGCCGCCACAGCCGCCGCCG